Molecule: non-coding RNA, 2414 nt
Organism: Manis javanica (Malayan pangolin)
Lineage: Eukaryota; Metazoa; Chordata; Mammalia; Pholidota; Manidae
Source: RefSeq, a predicted model, not a curated record
UCAACAGCAUCAUCUCGAAGGCUGUGCACCCGUCCUGUCAUAUCCUGUUUUAAGGAAAGUGCUAAUGGCUGGAAACUAACUAUUGUCAGCUAUCUCCCAGGGCUGUGGCCCUGACAUUCAGUGUCACUGGUGGAAAUCCAGCCGCGGCACAAGCCCCGGGGUCCCUGGCGCAGCCGUCUGAACCACAGCGCCAACGAUCCGUGCGCCGGGGUGGAAGGACUCGGGGGGUGCGCGCUUCCUCCGCCCUCGGGCCGCGCGUCCGGAACGGCCCUGGCUGUCAGGACUUCUCUGCUGUCCAGCAGGUCCUGCUGUGUCCCCAAGCAUGUGCAACAAGAAGUAUUGGAUUUCAGACUCAGAAGCUAUUAGUCCCAUGCUUCAUACGGUCUGCAGCAGGAGAAAAGAAUGAGGCAGACCUGUAGAAUUAAGUAAAGGAAAAAAAGGAAAGCAGCGAUGUGUACCGAACCCCUACAAGCUGCAAGGAUACCCUCCUGCCUUCCAUUUGCACAUGCCACUGGGAAGAGGUGGAGUUUUAUGAAGCUGGGAAAACCUGAUACACAGAGGCUGCUCGCCGUCUCCGUGUUCCAGUCUGGAAGAGACUACGCCAUAGUGCAAACUAGCAUUUUACAGUUAUAACUAAGACUUACGUGUUGCUUUUUUAAAAAGGCCCUCCAGAUAUCCUGUCUCAACCUCACUUUUGCCACCAGACGUUGUAUCACAGAUCUCCUUCCUUCUCGUCCCUGGAGGUGUUUCGGUUCUGCUGGUUUUCCUGUUUCCUCGUAGGCCGUGCUGGGCUUCUGCUGUUCUCUGUUCAUGGUGUCCAGGCUAAUGAAUCCAAGCUGAAGGACUCCGUAUUCCUGAGUCCCUCCUUCCUCGCAGCUGGGUGUAACCAUGUGAAUGAGCUCUGAACAAAAACCGUGCGUGGCAACGACAGACUCCGUUUCCAGGCCCAGUCCUUGAACAGCCCCCCUGCAUUUUCCUUCCUGCCCUUCCCGUCUGCACAGUGAUCCCGGAAGCCAUGUGUUGAAAAUAGUGGAGCUGCAUACGGAAGGCAUCUGGGUCCCCAGAGAUGUAAGAGAACUGCUUGCCAAUCAGAAGCACCUUUUUUUUUGGACUUUGAGGUUGUGUCUCAGGUAUCGCUGCAUGACACACCACUCCAACAGUUAGUGAAUUAAAACAACACUUUAUUAUACUCUCUCUCAGUUUUGUGGAUGGAUUGGGCUCAGUUGGGUGGUUCUCACUUGGAGGGUCUUGGAGGGUUGAAGUCAGAUGGGUGGGGCAUUUUGCUUUUAACUCUGAACUCAUUCAUUGCCCAGACCCUUUACUAGCCACUGGGAAAAAUGUUAAGAAUUCAGUUUCUCGUGCCUUGUUUCCAGGGAUUCUGAUUCAAAGGACUGGAUGAGACUAACAAGAUUUGCAAUUCUAACCAGAUUGUUGUAUGAGCUUUAUUCCUCUUGUUAGUUCUUCCCACUUCCUAAAUUUCUGAUUACCUAGAAAACAGAGGUCAGUCUCUCUGAAGAUCUCACAAGUUUCUCUUUACCCAACUAUGUAUUUCACCACACCCUUAGAAGACCUUGAAUCACUCGAAUUCAAGAAGGCUUGAGUCUUUUCAGCCCUACCUUCCAGAGAGGAUAAAAGUGACACUGCUUUAUUCAGAGGAACAUCGAUCUUAUUUCUCAAGCGAGAGGGAGGGAAAGAGUGACAGAUUAGCUUGCUCAGACCCUAGAAUUAUCUUCUGUUGUGAUUGGAUUAAUUGACUGAUCAACCUAAUUGUUUCAAAUCCAGAAUCUUAAUCACAGAACAAGCCCCCCAACCGUUUUUUUUUUUUUAAGCUGCUUUGAUCUUGGUUACCUCUUCUCCAAGCUCCCCACAGAUGCUCAGCUCCCUUACUUAACAUUCUCAGCUCAUGUUUUCUGCAACUUGUUCAGGCUUUCUUCACCAGCCACGCCCCCUGCCCGGGAUGUAGGUUCCCCACCCUGGCCAUGCUAAGGUUUUCUCCUCCUUGAAAACACUGCUAACAUUGACCUGUCCCGAACAGCAAGCCAUACAGGAAGGAGGAGAAACUGAGGAAGGAGAACAGCUCUGUUCAAGGUCCGACUUCGCUGCUUCCUGGCUGGGUCACCAAAGGAACUCAUACGCUGGUCUCUCAUAAAAGGGCUUGUGCUCCAGGCUCACUGGCUUGCUUUCAGUUCUUGCAAAGAAUUCUGGCCCCUUCCUGCUGCAGGGCUUUUGCAAAAGCUAUUCCCUCCCCCUGGAACACGGUUGCCCUCCUCACCCUUUACGCUGGUAAAUGCCUUCAGUGGUCGUGUCCUCAGGGACUAGGCCAGAUGUCCCUCUUAUACCACCAUGUACCUCACCUUCAGGGCAUUGAUCACAGUCAUAGAUUUAUAUCGACUUGUGAGAUAAUGUAAUUAACA